UACGGAGGUGGCAAGCGUUGUUCGGAAUCAUUGGGCGUAAAGCGCGUGUAGGCGGCUUGGCAAGUCGGUUGUGAAAUCCCGGGGCCCAACCCCGGAACUGCAUUCGAAACUGCCUCGCUAGAGUCCCGGAGAGGAAGGCGGAAUUCCCGGUGUAGAGGUGAAAUUCGUAGAUAUCGGGAGGAACACAAGCGGCGAAGGCGGCCUUCUGGACGGUGACUGACGCUGAGACGCGAAAGCGUGGGGAGCAAACAGG
Molecule: ribosomal RNA, 253 nt
Filed under: uncultured bacterium
Lineage: Bacteria
Description: partial 16S ribosomal RNA
Rfam family: Bacterial small subunit ribosomal RNA
Source: RNAcentral